Molecule: long non-coding RNA, 2391 nt
Organism: Hirundo rustica (Barn swallow)
Lineage: Eukaryota; Metazoa; Chordata; Aves; Passeriformes; Hirundinidae
Exons: 8
Source: RefSeq, a predicted model, not a curated record
AGAAAACUCAUUUUCACACCCAGGAGGUGACUGGGAGCUGACAGCAUCUGUGUCAGAGGAGUUUUCCAUAUGACCCAGCUGACAGACGAGUCAAGAACAAAUUCAACAACAUGAUGAUGCGUGACUGAAAACCUUCAACACCUAAUGAAGUCAGUGAGAGCUGAGAGUUUCCUCUGAGGAUAUGUCUGGCAAGCUUUAGAUUUGAGUUUCUUCUGGAAAAUGCAUCCUACUUGCAGUCACACAGUUUGGGAAAGUAUUUCUGGAUGUUUGAGCAUGACAGAAACUAUGCAGCUUUUUGGGCUGAACUCCUGAUAAAACUGUGGUACACUGGUGGGAAGGCUUCUGGGAGUCUGCUGUUAAAGUCUGCCUGCCACCAAAAUGAAAUGAGGUACCAUUGUGUCAAGUGGAGUUCAACUGUCUGCAUUUGUACUGCCAAUCAUACAUUCAAAAAAGGGAGUUUUUCUUGGCCUUAGUUAAAAAUAUUUCUGGAGUUCAUUUAUCUUUGCUGUCAGACCAAAUAACAUCGAAGGUAUAAAAAUUCUAUAGAUGAUUUUACUUUUAAGAAUGAACUAAUCUGAGGACUUCUCAUUAACUUUCAAGGACCAUUUGGCAGGUAUGGAAAAUGGAAAUGAGUCAGUCAAUCUACAAGCACUGUGAGUGCUCUCAAGUACCUGCACUUGACUUCAAGUUUUCCUGCCUAGAUUCUGUUUUCUUGGAUAAUUGACCUAAAAUGUCCUAGCCUCUCUUCAUGAAGGAACUAAAACAACAAGACACGGCAGAUGCAUCAGGGACACAGAGAAAUUAAGUGGAUCAAGAGGGGCCCAUCAUGUGUAGCUGGGUACUGCCCUCAGCUGUGCUAAUGUCUCCUGCUACCUCCUGUCUGCCUCUGCUUCAGUGGUUUAUUCUGCCUCUCGAUGCUUUUAAAGCCUCGUUGUCAUGACCUGACAGUUUCAGAUGAGACUUCAGGAAAGAUGGUACACAUUCUGAACAGUAAGAUACCAGGAGAGGAAGAGUCAAGGCUUUUAGAAAAGAAGGUUUUUAAAUUAAAACCUAUCACUUGCUAUGAUUUUAGGUAGAAAUUUAAGCAUACAUGGAAAGAUCCAUCAGUUACAUACAUUAUAAGAAGAGUGAGGCAGGUAUAAUUAUCUGUGUGCCCUAAACAAUUGUUCAAUGUGAAAGUAUUCUAUGCAAAGAUAUGUACAGCUUGUAUUUUUUUUUUUUUUUUUUUUUUUCAGAGCUGUGGGAGUUGGUUAGUUUUCUGGUGUUGUAGCUUUUUUUUUUUGUGCUUUUUAUUAAAACUUGGGACAGCCAAUUCGCCUAUGAUAAAGUAAGUAGUUAUAUUAAUACAUUCACGCUUAUUAGAUAUUUUCUAAAUUAUGGGACUAUAAAAAACCCUAAGGUACUUGCUAUGAAUUUUUAUCUUAAUUUAGUGUGUAGUGUCUUUGUUCAAAGAAGAGGGGUGACUAAAUGCAUAGUUCAUUUUUCCACUGGCAUACUGCGCUUUUGGUUGCAAACUGAAUUACAUUUUCAUUGUAAUAUUUUUCCAUUGCUUUCUCAGCAAUUUGGUUCUUGAUCAAGUUUUUAUGAAACUGUGUAUUAUCUUGAUCAACAUCCUAGGAAAAUCUACAUUUGUUCCUUCCCAGAUGGAGGUUUUCAGUACUUGAUAUCUAUCUGUAAUUGAUUUAUUAAUCAUCAACCUUCUUGUGGAUAGAUCAGCUUCAGUGUUGCCCUUUGUUCCAAGUUCUCAUGAGAAUGCUUUUUAGUAUUUUUACCAUAAAUUACUUUAUUGUUAUGGGCACUUUCAUAUAUGCACUCUUGUACAUUAUUAAAGGGGGUGAAACAACUGCAUGAAUUUUCCUAAAUAACCAGACAUCAUAUACAAAUUUAACUGAUGGAUAUUAUUGUUCUGUACGUGUAAGCAAGGUGUAUGUAUGAGCAACCCUCAUGAUGAUCAACAGGAACAGAGCUCCAAAGCUCUGGUUGAGAUAACUACUGCUAUUCAAUUUUUCAUUCACACUUGGUACUGUGUUUUCAUGUCCUCGUACUUUAUGAGGUUCAUGGUUCAUGGUUUCUUACUUUCUGGAGAUGUCAGUGAAACUGGCCAGACUGCUUCUCUGUUGUUUGAAGAAGGAGAUCUAUUUCUUCCAGAAGGUGAAAGGAUGGGAAGUAAGGGCACACCUGUGUUCUAUGAAGACAGUAGAAUAGUUAGACCAUAGUGUCUUGACAUGUGGUGUAUAUCACAGUUAUAUAGCAGUAAUGAAGAACAGAAGCUGAAAAUCUGGUAUUUUGUCUUGGUUGUGUUGUUGUCCCAGCUGCAAUUAGGUGAGAUUAUGUUUGCUUUUCAAUGCCUCCAUUAUCAUACUUAUUGCAAAUAAAGCUUUCUUUUGUUUC